GUACACGCUGUGACUAGCAUAUCAAUAAGCGGAGGAAAAGAAACUAACAAGGAUUCCCCUAGUAACGGCGAGUGAAGCGGGAAGAGCUCAAAUUUGGAAUCUUAAAGGGUUUCCCUUUACGAAUUGUAGUUUAAAGAAGUGUUUUCUGUUGAGGUUUUGGCUAAAAGUUCUUUGGAAUAGGACAUCAUAGAGGGUGAGAAUCCCGUAUUUGACCUUUACUUUCAACUUUGUGAUACACUUUCAAAGAGUCGGAUUGUUUGGGAAUGCAGUCCAAAAUGGGUGGUAAAUUUCAUCUAAAGCUAAAUAUUGGCGAGAGACCGAUAGCGAACAAGUACCGUGAGGGAAAGAUGAAAAGAACUUUGAAAAGAGAGUUAAACAGUACGUGAAAUUGUCAAAAGGGAAGCGUUUGACACCAGUGUUGUUUUUCCUCGAAAAUCAAUUAAAGAACUUGAUUAUGCUAAGGUUGUAUUAGACCUUUAUCAGCUUGCAAUUUGGUUUUGGGUCUCUUUUUGAUGCACUUUUCGGUUAACAAGUCAACAUCAAUUUCCUUUGCUGUAAAAAGGUAAGAGGAAGGUGGCUUCAAUUUCGGUUGAAGUGUUUAUAGCCUUUUAUCUCUGCAGUCGGGGAGAUUGAGGUCUGCAGCGUAGAUCCUUCGGGGCUAGAUACAUUUAUGCUAAGUUAUAGCUUUUCAUAGACAACUUGUUGACUAUGUUUAGUCAUGUAGCUUACUCGUAAGUGCUAUUUUACCUACGCUUAGGAUGUUGAGCGCAUGUCUCUCUCU
Molecule: ribosomal RNA, 781 nt
Filed under: uncultured Neocallimastigales
Lineage: Eukaryota; Fungi; Neocallimastigomycota; Neocallimastigomycetes; Neocallimastigales
Description: partial large subunit ribosomal RNA
Rfam family: Eukaryotic large subunit ribosomal RNA
Source: RNAcentral